GCCGGGCCGGGGCAGGGCAGGGCAGAGCAAGGCGUGCCGUGCCGUGCCGUGCCGCGCCGGGCGGAGGGGGCGGCCCGGAGGCCCCAGGCCCCUCAGCGCAGCGGCAGGCCUCAGGCCUCAGGCCUAGGCCGGGCCCCCAACCCGCGGCGGCGGGAGGGAGCGCGGGCGCGCGGCAGCGAGUCCUCGAGGAGCGCGGCCGCCUCCGCCGCGGCCCCACGGCGCUAGGAACGGGGGAGCGAGGGGGUACCGGUCCGGGUCGCCCGCCGUCCCCCCGCGGGCGGUGGGUCGCCCAUCCGUGAGUGCCCUUGUCCCCGUCCUCAGUGGUAGCUACCCCCCCCGGGGUGAGGGGAGGGGGUGCGGGCCCGCCGCUGGCGAGGCGGGGGCAGCGAGGAGCGGGAGCGACGCCGGGCUGACAUGGAAGCCGGGCGCUGAGGCCUUGUGUGACAGGGAGGGCGGCGGCGGCGGCACCCGGCCGCCGUGCAGGGCCGGGUUUUGUCACUCCCCUAGUCCCCGAAAUAUCCCCCCCCCCCCCCCGCCCCAGAUAGCUGCCAGAGCGGGGCGUGCGCUGGCUCCCUCAUAAAUUACCCGUGGCUUUGUGUCCCACCUAACUCGGCAGUAACGAAGGCCGCAGUCAGGCCGGUUAAAAAAUCAAAAAAGCAGGCAGAAGAAGCAGGUGAUGCGGCCGCUGAAAGGAGGAGAGGCCGGGAAUUGGGGCCAGCGCGGUGAUCAGUGUGGCAAAGGCCCUGAGAGGAAAAAGGAAGCUGGUUUGGCAGAGCGGGCGCCGGUGGAGGGAUGAAGAUCCUAACACAGUCACGUCGGCUGUCAGAAGCCACGCGAGGACCUGAACUCCUCCAAGGGAACUCUUGUAAUUUUGGAACUACAGUAAUGUUCUUCACCGUGGUCUUCACAAGCUCUCCAAACAUCUUUAUUCUCUACCAAGAUGCUGGAUGGCAGUGAACACAUGUAUGCUUGAGGUUUUGCACACUGCAAGGGCAGAAUUCACAAGGCGAGAAAAACCAAGUAUACCAAGUAUUGUGUAAGGCUCAGUUUUCCAGCGCAGCAAAGAUAAAGUUUCUUUCAAUCCUCAAGCUGUUUCCCACAACCAUUCUGGGGAUCACCUCCACAGCCUGCUCUGAGUUAUGGGAGAUUCUGGGGAAAGGUCAUUUCUAGAUUUCAUCCUGCACCAAGCCUCCAUGGUUCAUGGGCCUAACAUCUAGUGAUCUCUCUACCAAUUAGCUGAUCCACUGUUUCAACCAUCACAGGGCAGGAGGUGAGGCAGGGCAGGAGUGAGGGAUUUCCACCCGCCCCUCCUCCCCAAGGUUAAGCAUCUAACUUUAAUUUAACAUCCUAGUGGGGCACAGCCCAAGAUAAGAGUUAGAGGGGAUGCUGAUGGCCAGCCUAGUGAUAGUGUUUGCAUUUUCAUAAGUGAUCCUGGUGUUGGAGGGUGUGUUCCCCAGUCACAUGAGGAAACAACAAAGAAAAUAUAUAUUUGCAAGGGUCAGGGGGAGGUCAGCGGGAUGAGCAUUGCAAUUAUUUGCUAAUAUGGGCCUCCUAAUGUUCUCUCUAUACUGGAGAAUAUGGGCACUAAUAAGCUGGGAGAAGAUAGCCAUGAGCCUGUGGAUUUAGAAAUACACCAAAACACUUUCUGCCUUUUAAACUGUAUUUCAAAUUCCCUGCAAACAGUCUAAAAUUUCACUGUCAUGGGUAUUUAUGGGAUGGUUAGGGCACAAUAAUUCACGUUUUGAAGGGUGCUGUCUAUAUGUACUUGAGAUAUUGCUGUCAUAUAUCCAGUCUAAUCCACUUCUCUCACUGCCAGGUACAUAAGGCAGAUGUCUGUCAUCACCAACCAGUUCUAUCCCAAACCAGUCCCUUGAAGAUGUUCAAGUUGCUGACUUGCGAUGUUGCUGCUUUAGUCAUUAUUGUGUUUCCUCACGUUCCUCAGGGUCACCGUCUCUUCUUUCCUUUUCAUGUCAAAACAGGGCUUGUUGAAGGACCUGGUUAUCUGGCACUCUCAAAACAUGGCCAAGGUCAAUCUGUUUUCUCCAUUGUACUGUUUGUACAGCUGUGGGUAAUCAUGCAGGCUCCGAAAUCUCAGCAUUCCUUUUGCUCUCUGGCUGCUUUAUGAUCACUGUCCCCCACAGGCAUCCGCACUGAAAGCACUUUGAUUUCUGGGAAAUAGAUAUGUUCUUUCGAGACUUUAACUUGUACAGGUGUAUGUGUAGUGUAUUUUUAAUAACGGUGGCUCAAAAGAGCUUACAAGGAGGCUUAGCAUUGACACUGAUGACUUCCAUAUGGGAUGUAUUCUUCUCAUGGAAAUAAAGAAAAAAUUCUACUCAUUUUGAUAUCAUGUUCUUAGACCAGUGAGUAGAGAUGUGCAUGACAUCUAUAGGUAUCCUCAAAGGCCCCCUGCUUCAAGCUUACUCUAUAUUGUUUAUUACCCUUACGUAACCUGUGGUAAAGCUAGAAACCAUUAAUAAAGACAUUUAGCAUUAAAAAAGCAUUAGGAUUAAUGUUUCAGUUAUUACAGUUUUCCAAGUGAGUAUUGAUUCUCUGGGAUUUGUUGAUAUACAUAGAUUUUCCUGGAGGACAGGAAAACAAAAACAGCCUGACUUUUUAAAGCUGAAGUUAUAAAUGCAUAUCAAACCUUUAUUAGUUUGCUCUCUGUGGCCUUUGCACUGUGACAGAACUAUAAAAUGUUUAUCUGUAAUGAGCACCGUUUUAUUAUGAUUUCAGUUUUACACAUUGGAGCUCAUCACACAGCACAGCAGUCAGGGAGAGCAGGGCCAGAAUUCUGGAGACACCUGAUCAAGUAACAGACACAGCAUUGGCAUGUGUACAGUAGCUUCAGCAAGGAGGUUUUCAGCCUUACCAUCCUCACCAUCUUCAAAGACAUCACCCAUGACACAAAAUUACAUUCUUAGACUGACACCUCUUGACAGAGUCUUCUCCAGCUCAUUUUCAAUGGAUAAAGGUCUGUAGCAGUACUGUACUUCAUCUACUUCUCUUUAAUUCUUUGUUUUGAUGCAGCUCCUAUACAGAGACCCUUUCCUGAGGCCCCACAUAAACCUUCUGGUUUCUGUGCCUGGACCAACACAUUUUUAUUUUUCUGCAGAGUAUGAGGAAGGCUCAUGAGCUCCCUGUGGCACAGAGGUGUCAGGUAAAGUCUGUUAGUGUGAUGCCAAGACAUUGUUCCUAGAGCACCUGGGUACAAAGAGGCAGAACUAACUUUGUAUUAGCAUUUAAACAACAAGGUGAAGCCUGGUCAGUGCCAGUCACCGUGACCCUGUGGAGCAGAAGAAACUUGGAUGAAAGUAGCAGCUAGGUGUGGGAAGGUAUAAAGCUGUGUGGGAGGGUAGAUGGAAGACCAUCAACACAGUUUGAAGCAAAGGCUUCUUCAAAUCUGUAACCAGUACCCCUUGCUCCUGACACCUUGUAAUACAGUUACCAUAACUAAUGUAGUUUUAUAAGGCAAAUGGCCAUUCUCUGUGACCAAGUUGGUCAGGUAUCAGUCCCCUUUCCCCUCCUCAUCAGGCCUGGAAGGUCCUGCACACCAGGCAGAUUUCUUCUCCCCCUCCCUAUCAGCCUCAAGGUUCCCGGGCACCGGGCUGACCCCUCCUUACCAGCCUUGAAGGUCCCAGGGACCCAGCCAGCCGGGCUGUGAUGACCCCAGCACAGAACCAGGAAGCACAGCAGCUCUCUAUAUAAAAUCAAGCAGUUACAACUCCCAAGUGGGACUUGGACUACAACUGCUGCUGGGCAGCGAAACUCAUGAUCCCUUAGCGGUCAGGGAUGCCUCCACCAUCGUCUGCUUCCUCCAAGGACUGAGUGACUCAUAUUCUUUUACAUGUUUUGAGUCUAUAUUAUGAUUGCUAUAUUGGUACUGCAAGCCAAGUAUUAAGAUCUGACCCGAGCUGCAGACGGUCCAAGUGAUUAGGAACUGUAAACUAAUCUGUGCUACAAAUUUUGUGCUAUGCUACUUGCAAAAUUGUGCUACACUGAUUCUGACUAUAAAAAUCCUGUGCUAUUCUGGUCAUAAAAUUGUAUGUUAUGCUGAUCAUAAAAUUUUGUUUAAAAAAUAAAGCUUUAAUUGUAACUACAA
Molecule: long non-coding RNA, 4099 nt
Organism: Tyto alba (common barn owl)
Lineage: Eukaryota; Metazoa; Chordata; Aves; Strigiformes; Tytonidae
Exons: 2
Source: RefSeq, a predicted model, not a curated record